AUGAAAUACCUUGGUGAAGUUGCUUACAUAUUGGGCAUCAAGAUCUAUAGGGAUAGAUCGAGACGCUUAAUAGGACUUUCACAAAGCACAUACCUUAACAAAGUUCUGAAGAAGUUCAAAAUGGACCAGUCAAAGAAAGUGUUCUUGCCUGUGUUGCAAGGUGUAAAAUUGAGUCAGACUCAAAGUCCAACCACGACAGAAGAUAGAGAGAGAAUGAAAGUCAUUCCCUAUGCCUCAGCCAUAGGUUCUAUAAUGUAUGCCAUGUUGUGUACCAGACCUGAUGUGUGCCUUGCCAUAAGUUUGGCAGGGAGGUACCAAAGUAAUCCAGGAGUGGAUCACUGGACAACGGUGAAGAAUAUCCUGAAGUACCUGAAAAGGACCAAGGAUAUGUUUCUCGUUUAUGGAGGUGAAGAAGAGCUCGUCGUAAAGGGUUACGUUGAUGCUAGCUUCGACACAGAUCCGGAUGACUCUAAGUUGCAAACCGGAUACGUAUUUAUAUUGAAUGGUGGAGCUAUCAAUUGGUGCAGUUCUAAGCAGACCGUCGUGGCGGGAUCUACAUGUGAAGCAGAGUAUAUAGCUGCUUCAGAAGUAGCGCAUGAAGGAGUCUGGAUGAAGGAGUUCAUAUCUGAUCUGGGUGUAAUACCUAGUGCAUCGGGUCCAAUCACAAUCUUUUGUGACAACACUGGAGCAAUUGCCAUAGCCAAGGAGCCCGGGUUUCACGAGAAAACCAAACACAUCAAGCGACACUUCAACUCCAUUUGUAAAAAAGUCAAGGAUGGAGACAUAGAAAUUUGCAAAGUACAUGCGGAUCUGAAUGUGGCAGUCCCGUUGACUAAACCUCUUCCACGGGCAAAACAUAAUCAGCACCAAGACCCCAUGGGUGUUAGAUUCAUUACUAUGUAA
RNAcentral lists this ribosomal RNA (903 nucleotides) under Triticum aestivum (bread wheat). RNAcentral describes it as "partial small subunit ribosomal RNA". Lineage: Eukaryota; Viridiplantae; Streptophyta; Magnoliopsida; Poales; Poaceae. The record is from RNAcentral.